CCUACGGGUGGCUGCAGUGGGGAAUAUUGGACAAUGGGGGCAACCCUGAUCCAGCCAUGCCGCGUGUGUGAAGAAGGCCCUCGGGUUGUAAAGCACUUUCAGUGAGGAAGAACGCCUGGUGGUUAAUACCCAUCAGGAAAGACAUCACUCACAGAAGAAGCACCGGCUAACUCCGUGCCAGCAGCCGCGGUAAUACGGAGGGUGCGAGCGUUAAUCGGAAUUACUGGGCGUAAAGCGCGCGUAGGUGGCUUGAUAAGCCGGUUGUGAAAGCCCCGGGCUCAACCUGGGAUCGGCAUCCGGAACUGUCAAGCUAGAGUGCAGGAGAGGAAGGUAGAAUUCCCGGUGUAGCGGUGAAAUGCGUAGAGAUCGGGAGGAAUACCAGUGGCGAAGGCGGCCUUCUGGACUGACACUGACACUGAGGUGCGAAAGCGUGGGUAGCAAACAGGAUUAGAUACCCUGGUAGUC
This 465-nucleotide ribosomal RNA is filed under the name Vreelandella stevensii. RNAcentral's name for it is "partial 16S ribosomal RNA". It matches the Rfam family "Bacterial small subunit ribosomal RNA", at positions 338 to 795 of the family's 1533-position model. Lineage: Bacteria; Pseudomonadati; Pseudomonadota; Gammaproteobacteria; Oceanospirillales; Halomonadaceae. The record is from RNAcentral.